RNAcentral lists this ribosomal RNA (254 nucleotides) under Paracoccaceae bacterium. RNAcentral describes it as "Rhodobacteraceae bacterium (marine sediment metagenome) partial 16S ribosomal RNA". It matches the Rfam family "Bacterial small subunit ribosomal RNA", at positions 1 to 282 of the family's 1533-position model. Lineage: Bacteria; Pseudomonadati; Pseudomonadota; Alphaproteobacteria; Rhodobacterales; Paracoccaceae. The record is from RNAcentral.
UCAACUUGAGAGUUUGAUCCUGGCUCAGAACGAACGCUGGCGGCAGGCCUAACACAUGCAAGUCGAGCGAGACCUUCGGGUCUAGCGGCGGACGGGUGAGUAACGCGUGGGAAUGUGCCCUUCUCUACGGAAUAGUCCCGGGAAACUGGGUUUAAUACCGUAUACGCCCUUCGGGGGAAAGAUUUAUCGGAGAAGGAUCGGCCCGCGUUGGAUUAGGUAGUUGGUGGGGUAAUGGCCUACCAAGCCUACGAUCC